Molecule: transfer RNA, 74 nt
Filed under: Romeriopsis navalis LEGE 11480
Lineage: Bacteria; Bacillati; Cyanobacteriota; Cyanophyceae; Leptolyngbyales; Leptolyngbyaceae
Also listed under: 1 other name
Rfam family: tRNA
About the family: Transfer RNA (tRNA) molecules are approximately 80 nucleotides in length. Their secondary structure includes four short double-helical elements and three loops (D, anti-codon, and T loops).
Source: Rfam by way of RNAcentral
GGGGAUGUAACUCAACUGGAUAGAGUGCCAGGCUUCGAACCUGGAAGUUGUGGGUUCAAGUCCUACCAUCCUCG